RNAcentral lists this ribosomal RNA (549 nucleotides) under uncultured bacterium. RNAcentral's name for it is "bacterial SSU rRNA". It matches the Rfam family "Bacterial small subunit ribosomal RNA", at positions 356 to 896 of the family's 1533-position model. The record is from RNAcentral.
AGGGAAUCUUCGGCAAUGGACGGAAGUCUGACCGAGCAACGCCGCGUGAGUGAAGAAGGUUUUCGGAUCGUAAAGCUCUGUUGUAAGAGAAGAACGAGUGUGAGAGUGGAAAGUUCACACUGUGACGGUAUCUUACCAGAAAGGGACGGCUAACUACGUGCCAGCAGCCGCGGUAAUACGUAGGUCCCGAGCGUUGUCCGGAUUUAUUGGGCGUAAAGCGAGCGCAGGCGGUUAGAUAAGUCUGAAGUUAAAGGCUGUGGCUUAACCAUAGUACGCUUUGGAAACUGUUUAACUUGAGUGCAAGAGGGGAGAGUGGAAUUCCAUGUGUAGCGGUGAAAUGCGUAGAUAUAUGGAGGAACACCGGUGGCGAAAGCGGCUCUCUGGCUUGUAACUGACGCUGAGGCUCGAAAGCGUGGGGAGCAAACAGGAUUAGAUACCCUGGCAGUCCACGCCGUAAACGAUGAGUGCUAGGUGUUAGACCCUUUCCGGGGUUUAGUGCCAAAGCUAACGCAUUAAGCACUCCGCCUGGGGAGUACGACCGCAAGGUUG